This 368-nucleotide unclassified non-coding RNA is filed under the name soil metagenome. RNAcentral describes it as "partial contains 5.8S ribosomal RNA, internal transcribed spacer 2, and large subunit ribosomal RNA". The stretch from base 1 to 120 matches the Rfam family "5.8S ribosomal RNA", at positions 35 to 154 of the family's 154-position model. The record is from RNAcentral.
GAUGAAGAACGCAGCGAAAUGCGAUAAGUAAUGUGAAUUGCAGAAUUCAGUGAACCAUCGAAUCUUUGAACGCACAUUGCGCCCGGCAGUAAUCUGCCGGGCAUGCCUGUCCGAGCGUCAUUUCUGCCCUCGAGCGAGUCCAGCAUCUAGGUGCUGGGCCCGCCCGGCGUUGUGGCACUACGGGAAGCCCUGUGCUGUCCCCCGUAGGCCCCGAAAUGAAGUGGCGGUCCUGCCGCGGCGCCCCCUGCGUAGUAUAACAGCUCGCUUCGGGACCCGGUGGAGGCCUGCCGUCAAACCUUACUCUCUAAGUUUGACCUCGGAUCAGGUAGGGUUACCCGCUGAACUUAAGCAUAUCAAUAAGCGGAGGA